Molecule: ribosomal RNA, 259 nt
Filed under: uncultured bacterium
Lineage: Bacteria
Description: partial 16S ribosomal RNA
Rfam family: Bacterial small subunit ribosomal RNA
Source: RNAcentral
ACACGCAAACAACCUGCCUUCAGGAUGGGGACAACAGACGGAAACGACUGCUAAUACCGAAUAAGUUCCAAGAGCCGCAUGGCCCAUGGAAGAAAAGGUGGCCUCUACCUGUAAGCUAUCGCCUGAAGAGGGGUUUGCGUCUGAUUAGCUGGUUGGAGGGGUAACGGCCCACCAAGGCGACGAUCAGUAGCCGGUCUGAGAGGAUGAACGGCCACACUGGAACUGAGACACGGUCCAGACUCCUACGGGAGGCAGCAUG